This 888-nucleotide long non-coding RNA is filed under the name Populus trichocarpa (black cottonwood). RNAcentral's name for it is "long non-coding RNA (PTRI_LNC000630)". The record is from RNAcentral. Lineage: Eukaryota; Viridiplantae; Streptophyta; Magnoliopsida; Malpighiales; Salicaceae.
UCUAACCGCAGAAGAAAAACUGAUAAAAUCAAUUUACAAAUCAUAAAACUUAGAUCUGGUUGAGUUGGGGUAUUAGAAAUUGAAACCAGAUAACUAGAUCGGACCGGUGUAACUUAAACCCACUUUAAAAAAACCAGGGGUAUAAAGACAAAACUAACAUAACCUGAACCUUAAAAUUUUUCUCCCUUUCCCAUUGAAAACAGCCGCCAGCCGUUCCUUCUCUCUCGUUCCACCUCUCUCUGUCCUUUACAGAUUACCUCCUCUGUCAUCUCCCCGUCUUCCACUGCCUUCUCUCUCUCGUUAUCUUCUUUUCAUCGAAGACCUAUUCUAAUCCAUUGGCGCCAUUGCAUGUGAUUGACUCCACCACAACAUCUCCUGCUACAAUCAUCAAACAGGUUUGGAAAACAAUGCCUUUUUUCUCUUUGUUUUAGUUAUUUUGUUAUGCAUUUAGGUAUUCAACUGAAUUUUUAAGUUUUUGUUUCUACUUCCAACCUUUUAUCCUAUCACUUGAGGUGUAACCCAUGUUUAAAUUUUUCUUCUUUUGACGGGUUCAUGUAUUUUUCGUGUUGGCAAAGCUUGUAUUUUUUUCGAGGCUUUUAUGAAAUCGUAGGCGAACUUUAUGUAAAUAUUUGGUAUGUUGCUGAAAUAUUUUGGAGAUAAUAAAAUUCUUAAUAUAUGUGCUAUACUCCUGAUCUCCGACGAGCAUUACUUUCUAAUGAUCGAUUCAACUUGAUCAUGAAGGAAAGUAUAUCAGUCAGGGACUUUAAUGUGAUUUUCAUGUUUAUAAUUAAGCUUAUACUUUACUUUAUAUAAGCUUAUUUGGUCAUGAGCAGGAGUAGUACUGCUGUUGCUGGAUUUUGUGGAUGCUGAUGUUCCUGGAAUUUGCAC